UACGGGGGGGGCAAGCGUUGUUCGGAAUUACUGGGCGUAAAGGGCUCGUAGGCGGCCAACUAAGUCAGACGUGAAAUCCCUCGGCUUAACCGGGGAACUGCGUCUGAUACUGGAUGGCUUGAGUCCGGGAGAGGGAUGCGGAAUUCUAGGUGUAGCGGUGAAAUGCGUAGAUAUCUGGAGGAACACCGGUGGCGAAGGCGGCAUCCUGGACCGGCACUGACGCUGAUGAGCGAAAGCCAGGGGAGCAAACGGG
This 253-nucleotide ribosomal RNA is filed under the name uncultured bacterium. RNAcentral's name for it is "partial 16S ribosomal RNA". It matches the Rfam family "Bacterial small subunit ribosomal RNA", at positions 524 to 776 of the family's 1533-position model. The record is from RNAcentral.